AAGCUCACACCUUUCCUUGAAACUGCUCCUUCAGCUUAUUCAAGCUUGUUUGGAGGUCUCAUAAGUUUGAGCCGAUGUUGAGCAGGGGAAGCAAAAUCAAUGGUCCCUUAAGACUUAGGCUCAUGAUACCAUUUGUUUGAACAAUGGCAGCAGCAAAAAGAAAAAGAACAAGACAGAGAACAAAGGAGGAAGAAACAAAAACAAUUUACUUGCUCACAAACGUGCAGCAAGG
This 232-nucleotide long non-coding RNA is filed under the name Gossypium barbadense (sea-island cotton). Its description in RNAcentral is "long non-coding RNA (GBAR_LNC013156)". The record is from RNAcentral. Lineage: Eukaryota; Viridiplantae; Streptophyta; Magnoliopsida; Malvales; Malvaceae.